RNAcentral lists this ribosomal RNA (549 nucleotides) under uncultured Glomus. Its description in RNAcentral is "SSU rRNA". It matches the Rfam family "Eukaryotic small subunit ribosomal RNA", at positions 548 to 1098 of the family's 1831-position model. Lineage: Eukaryota; Fungi; Glomeromycota; Glomeromycetes; Glomerales; Glomeraceae. The record is from RNAcentral.
UUGGAGGGCAAGUCUGGUGCCAGCAGCCGCGGUAAUUCCAGCUCCAAUAGCGUAUAUUAAAGUUGUUGCAGUUAAAAAGCUCGUAGUUGAAUUUCGGGGUCAGUAGGUUGGUCGUGCCACUGGUACGUACUGGCCUCACUGAUUCCUCCUUCCUGAUGAGCCGUAAUGCCAUUAAUUUGGUGUUGCGAGGAAUCUGGACUGUUACUUUGAAAAAAUUAGAGUGUUUAAAGCAGGCUAACGCUUGAAUACAUUAGCAUGGAAUAAUGAAAUAGGACGUUCGAUCUUAUUUUGUUGGUUUCUAAGAUUGACGUAAUGAUUAAUAGGGAUAGUUGGGGGCAUUAGUAUUCAAUUGUCAGAGGUGAAAUUCUUGGAUUUAUUGAAGACUAACUACUGCGAAAGCAUUUGCCAAGGAUGUUUUCAUUAAUCAAGAACGAAAGUUAGGGGAUCGAAGACGAUCAGAUACCGUCGUAGUCUUAACCAUAAACUAUGCCGACUAGGGAUCGGAUGAUGUUAAUUUUUUAAUGACUCAUUCGGCGCCUUACGGGAAAC